RNAcentral lists this ribosomal RNA (460 nucleotides) under uncultured bacterium. RNAcentral describes it as "partial 16S ribosomal RNA". It matches the Rfam family "Bacterial small subunit ribosomal RNA", at positions 338 to 795 of the family's 1533-position model. The record is from RNAcentral.
CCUACGGGAGGCAGCAGUGAGGAAUAUUUGUCAAUGGCCGGAAGGCUGAACCAGCCAUGCCGCGUGAAGGUCAGUGCCCUAUGGGCGUUAAACUUCUUUUGUGCGGGAGCAAUAAUGGUCACGUGUGGCCAGACGAGAGUACCGUACGAAUAAGCAUCGGCUAACUCCGUGACAGCAGCCGCGGUAAUACGGGGGAUGCAAGCGUUAUCCGGAUUUAUUGGGUUUAAAGGGUGCGUAGGCUGUGAGGUAAGUCAGCGGUGAAAUGCCCCCGCUCAACGGGGUGAAGUGCCAUUGAUACUGCCUGGCUGGAAUGCGGAUGCCGUGGGAGGAAUGUGUGGUGUAGCGGUGAAAUGCAUAGAUAUCACACAGAACACCGAUUGCGAAGGCAUCUCACGAAUCCGCGAUUGACGCUGAUGCACGAAAGCGUGGGUAUCAAACAGGAUUAGAUACCCCUGUAGUC